GUGGUAGUGGUGGUGGUGGUGGUGGUGGUAGUGGUGGUGUGUUUUGUGAAUGCAGUGAUUAGAAAUGAAACCCGUCUCGGUGCUGUUAUUGGAAGGGGAGCCCCAUCUCUCUCUCGGGCGGUUUGUGUGAUUUUGCUAAAAUGCAUCACCAACAGCGAAUGGCUGCCUUAGGGACGGACAAAGAGCUGAGUGAUUUACUGGAUUUCAGUGCGAUGUUUUCACCUCCUGUGAGCAGUGGGAAAAAUGGACCAACUUCUUUGGCAAGUGGACAUUUUACUGGCUCAAAUGUAGAAGACAGAACUAGCUCAGGGUCCUGGGGGAAUGGAGGACAUCCAAGUCCAUCCAGGAACUAUGGAGAUGGGACCCACUAUGAACAUAUGACUAGCAGGGACCUUGGAUCACAUGACAAUCUUUCUCCUCCUUUUGUCAAUUCCAGAAUACAAAAUGCAAUAUUCAAAUAUUGAAGUAGAGCUGGGUGUUCCUUGCAGUGAUGUAUAUUGCAUUUCAUCCAUGCCUAUCGAUUGCAACCCAUAUGCUCAUCUUCCUACAAGUUGAAAUGUAAAACAGAAAGGGGUUCAUACUCGUCUUAU
Dromiciops gliroides (monito del monte) is the source of this 590-nucleotide RNA transcript. It is a transcript of the gene named transcription factor 4-like, with no coding region annotated. Lineage: Eukaryota; Metazoa; Chordata; Mammalia; Microbiotheria; Microbiotheriidae. The record is from RefSeq and is a predicted model, not a curated record. The transcript is spliced from 7 exons.